UGGGGAAUAUUGCACAAUGGGGGAAACCCUGAUGCAGCGACGCCGCGUGGAGGAUGACGGCCUUCGGGUUGUAAACUCCUUUUGUCAGGGACAAUGGUGAUGGUACCUGACGAAUAAGCCACGGCUAACUCUGUGCCAGCAGCCGCGGUAAGACAGAGGUGGCGAGCGUUGUUCGGAAUUACUGGGCUUAAAGGGCGCGUAGGCGGUGGUGUAAGUCUGGGGUGGAAUGCUACAGCUCAACUGUAGAGCUGCCUUGGAAACUGCAUUACUUGAGUCGGUGAGGGGGAGGCGGAAUUCCUGGUGUAGCGGUGAAAUGCGUAGAUAUCAGGAGGAAGGUCUGUGGCGAAGGCGGCCUUCUGGCAGUUGACUAACGCUGAGGCGCGAAAGCGUGGGGAGCAAACAG
Molecule: ribosomal RNA, 403 nt
Filed under: uncultured bacterium
Lineage: Bacteria
Description: bacterial SSU rRNA
Rfam family: Bacterial small subunit ribosomal RNA
Source: RNAcentral